Molecule: transfer RNA, 65 nt
Filed under: Acomys cahirinus (Egyptian spiny mouse)
Lineage: Eukaryota; Metazoa; Chordata; Mammalia; Rodentia; Muridae
Description: tRNA-Tyr
Rfam family: tRNA
About the family: Transfer RNA (tRNA) molecules are approximately 80 nucleotides in length. Their secondary structure includes four short double-helical elements and three loops (D, anti-codon, and T loops).
Source: RNAcentral
GGUAAGGUGGCCGAGCAGGUAUUAGACUGUAAAUCUAAAGACAGAGGUUAAGCCCUCUUCUUACC